RNAcentral lists this ribosomal RNA (547 nucleotides) under Melampsora laricis-populina. RNAcentral's name for it is "eukaryotic LSU rRNA". It matches the Rfam family "Eukaryotic large subunit ribosomal RNA", at positions 63 to 612 of the family's 3401-position model. The record is from RNAcentral. Lineage: Eukaryota; Fungi; Basidiomycota; Pucciniomycetes; Pucciniales; Melampsoraceae.
AAUCUAUGAUGAUUCCCUUAGUAACGGCGAGUGAACAGGGAAAAGCCCAAAUUUGUAAUCUGGCACUUUUUACAAGUGUCCGAGUUGUAAUUUGUAGAACUGUUAUCCGCGCUGGACCAUGUACAAGUCUGUUGAAAAGCAGCAUCAUUGAAGGUGAAAAUCCUGUAGAUGAUAUGGACUACCAGUGCAUUUGUGAUACGGUUUCUAAGAGUCGAGUUGUUUGGGAAUGCAGCUCAAAGUGGGUGGUAAAUUCCAUCUAAGGCUAAAUAUAAGUGAGAGACCGAUAGCAAACAAGUACCGUGAGGGAAAGAUGAAAAGAACUUUGAAAAUAGAGUUAACAGUACGUGAAAUUGCUGAAAGGGAAACGUUUGAAGUUAGUUUUGUAUUCGUUGGAUCAGCUUCGCAAGGAGUGUAUUCUGAUGAUAAGCAAGUCAACAUCAAUCUAUGAGUGUCGGAGAAGGGUUUUGAGAAUGUAGCAAUUUUUAUUAAUUGUGUUAUAGCUUGAGACUUGGAUACGAUGCUUUGGAUUGAGGAACGCGUAGUAAGC